ACUCCUACGGGAGGCAGCAGUGGGGAAUAUUGCACAAUGGGCGCAAGCCUGAUGCAGCCAUGCCGCGUGUGUGAAGAAGGCCUUAGGGUUGUAAAGCACUUUCAGCGAGGAGGAAGGGUAGUGUGUUAAUAGCACAUUUCAUUGACGUUACUCGCAGAAGAAGCACCGGCUAACUCCGUGCCAGCAGCCGCGGUAAUA
This 198-nucleotide ribosomal RNA is filed under the name uncultured Pseudomonas sp. RNAcentral describes it as "partial 16S ribosomal RNA". It matches the Rfam family "Bacterial small subunit ribosomal RNA", at positions 335 to 525 of the family's 1533-position model. Lineage: Bacteria; Pseudomonadati; Pseudomonadota; Gammaproteobacteria; Pseudomonadales; Pseudomonadaceae. The record is from RNAcentral.